CUUGGUCAUCUAGAGGAAGUAAAAGUCGUAACAAGGUUUCCGUAGGUGAACCUGCGGAAGGAUCAUUAUUGAAUGAACUUGGUGUGGUUGUCGCUGGCCCUCUUGGGGGCAUGUGCACACCUACCAUCCUCAUCUCUCCACCUGUGCACCUCUUGUAGAUUUGGAAUUGAUUAUCCGAGGCAACUCGGUCGUGAGGACUGCUAGCACUUAGCUGGCUUUCUUUGCAAUUCCAGGUCUAUGUUUUUCAUAUACCCCAUUGUAUGUAACAGAAUGUAUCAUUGGGCCCUUGUGCCUAUAAACCUUAUACAACUUUCAGCAACGGAUCUCUUGGCUCUCGCAUCGAUGAAGAACGCAGCGAAAUGCGAUAAGUAAUGUGAAUUGCAGAAUUCAGUGAAUCAUCGAAUCUUUGAACGCACCUUGCGCUCCUUGGUAUUCCGAGGAGCAUGCCUGUUUGAGUGUCAUUAAAUUCUCAACCAAUAUCAACUUUUGCUGAUAAUGGCUUGGAUGUGGGGGUCUAUUUUGCUGGCUUCUCAGAUAGUCAGCUCCCCUUAAAUGCAUUAGCCGGUGCCCCGCGUGGACUGUCUAUUGGUGUGAUAAUUAUCUACGCUAUAGACAUCUGCAAUCAUAUGGGUUUGCACUGCUUCUAACAGUCUGUUGAUUCAGACAAAACAUGACAAUUUGACCUCAAAUCAGGUAGGACUACCCGCUGAACUUAAGCAUAUCAAUAAGCGGAGGA
Molecule: ribosomal RNA, 736 nt
Filed under: uncultured fungus
Lineage: Eukaryota; Fungi
Description: eukaryotic LSU rRNA
Rfam family: 5.8S ribosomal RNA (bases 308-461)
Source: RNAcentral